CCUACGGGCGGCUGCAGUGGGGGAUAUUGCACAAUGGGGGAAACCCUGAUGCAGCGACGCCGCGUGGGUGAAGAAGCGCCUCGGCGCGUAAAGCCCUGUCAGCAGGGAAGAAAAUGACGGUACCUGAAGAAGAAGCCCCGGCUAACUACGUGCCAGCAGCCGCGGUAAUACGUAGGGGGCAAGCGUUAUCCGGAUUGACUGGGUGUAAAGGGGGCGCAGACGGCGAUGCAAGCCAGGAGUGAAAGCCCGGGGCCCAACCCCGGGACUGCUCUGGGAACUGCGUGGCUAGAGUGCUGGAGGGGCAGGCGGAAUUCCUAGUGUAGCGGUGAAAGGCGUAGAUAUUAGGAGGAACACCAGUGGCGAAGGCGGCCUGCUGGACAGUAACUGACGUUGAGGCUCGAAAGCGUGGGGAGCAAACAGGAUUAGAGACCCCUGUAGUC
Molecule: ribosomal RNA, 440 nt
Filed under: uncultured bacterium
Lineage: Bacteria
Description: partial 16S ribosomal RNA
Rfam family: Bacterial small subunit ribosomal RNA
Source: RNAcentral